AGUCGAACGAAAUAAUCGUAGAAAUUGAUAGUAUUAUUGAAGAGGAGUCUUUACAAGUUGAACGUAUCACAUGUCCGAGUUCGUACGCAUUCUCAGGUACCACUGAACCGAACUAACCAAUAACCAGUUUGAAGUACCUACAAUAUACGUGAUCUUGAACGAUUAAUAAGGCAGAUAUCGAUUACUCACCGAAACCCGCAGAAAUAUUCAACACCAAAGCUGUAAUGAGACACGUUAAACUCCAAGCCCAUAGUUCCGGCUGCAGAUUCGUCAACCAGUAAACAAGAAUGGUGAAAGAUAACGGAUCGAAUAGAAAUCCUGGUAACUAUACAA
Long non-coding RNA from Planococcus citri (citrus mealybug), 333 nucleotides. RefSeq lists it as uncharacterized. The transcript is spliced from 2 exons. Lineage: Eukaryota; Metazoa; Arthropoda; Insecta; Hemiptera; Pseudococcidae. The record is from RefSeq and is a predicted model, not a curated record.